CCUCCCGCGCCUCUAUUUCUACCGCCCCGCCGGCGCUACCCGCCGCCCGCGCUCUCCAUCCAUCCCCGUCCCCCGCGAUCGCCGAGCUCUACCUCCUCCAGCACACGUCCCGCGGCAGCAUCCGUCAGAGAAGCUAGCUAGCGCUUCGAUCCCCGAUCCGUGUCGUAGACGACAGCGGGGCCCCCCGGCGGCCGGUUGUUUCUCGCAGCUCGGCCGGCGGCGGCCAUGGACGACGACGCCUCCUCGUCUCCGGCGGCUUCGUACAUCAGACUGGUGCAGCAUCUGAUCGAGAAGUGCAUCUGCUACAAGCUGAACAAGGAGGAGUGCAUGGAGACGUUGGAGAAGCACGCCAAGAUCAUGCCCGUCGUCACGUCCACCGUGUGGAAGGAGCUAGAGAAGGAGAACAGGGAGUUCUUCGAGACGUACAAGAAGGAUCGGGGAGGAGGAGGAGGAGGCCCCAGGAACCUGCAGGAAGCGGCGGCUGCUGGUCACCAUCCUCCUCCGCGUCUCCAAGUCCAACAGAGCUGCUGCUCACAAGAGCCGGCGCUGGAGCAGAAGAAGCACCCACCAUCUGAUGGAGUACAGGAACAUAAUCGCGUCGUCGUGGAGAAGGAGAAGAGGAAGCAGGACCCACCAUCGGCGUCGGCGUCGGCUGAUGGACAGGAACAGCGCGUCGUGGAGAAGAAGGAGAAGAGGAAGGACCCGCCGUCUGAUGGACAGGAACGGCGCGUCAUGGCGAAGGAGAACAGCCGGAAGGAUCCUUCCGCUUCUUCCAAGAGAUCAGACAAGGACAACGACUAGAGCUCUCGCUCGCUCGAUCAGCCGUGCCGCUCCUGUGGCUACGAUCGAAUGUGGUCGAUGCAGGAGAUCUCAGGACGAUCGAAGAUUCUCGAUCUACAGGCGCCGCCGUACCGCGAGCAGGGGGAGGGAGCGACGGACGGUGUUGCGCUGCAUGCGUGUGGGCCCUGCACACGUGGCGGCCGGGCGAAUAUUCACCCGGCUUAGCGUGUUUGAAGGACACGACACGACUGGUGGAGGUGGUGGUGGUUACUGUCAGAAGAAAGAGGCCGUUCUUGUCCCGGUGGUCGGUCUCGCGUCUCGACGUACGUACGUGCUCUGCUCUGGCGAUCCGUCGAACAGACAGGACGGCCGGGCGCCGGGGCCAAGGCCAACAAAGCACGCGAGAUUUCUUCCUCCCCCAGGCCCAGCCACCCUCCUUUUGGCGCCGGGCGCUUCUGAGCAGGACGUCUACGGUGGCUGGCAAAUUCCCAGGCGUGCGCGUGACGUCUUGUUUGGUCGGAGCAGCCUGCAACAGCGCACGCAGUACACAGCCGGUCCAAGAGGCUCGGCCGGGCUCACUCCUGUCAUGUUGACAUGUAGCUAGGCACGUGCACACGUACUUGUGACCGCUACACAGGCCGGUAUGCAUGCCACUCGCUGUACGCGUCCACAAGAAUCGAGCCCGGCUUUUGUGCUUCGGGAGUUUGGAACCAA
Molecule: non-coding RNA, 1494 nt
Organism: Zea mays
Lineage: Eukaryota; Viridiplantae; Streptophyta; Magnoliopsida; Poales; Poaceae
Source: RefSeq, a predicted model, not a curated record